RNAcentral lists this long non-coding RNA (537 nucleotides) under Marmota monax (woodchuck). The record is from RNAcentral. Lineage: Eukaryota; Metazoa; Chordata; Mammalia; Rodentia; Sciuridae.
UAUGGCUGGAGGAGCAGGGAAUUAGGGACAGAGCUGUGGAGCCAGGUGUGGCUGAAUGGGGCCCAAUAUCCCCACUGCCUGGUGUGGGGAUGGCCUUAGGCCUUAACCUAAGCAACUCCAAUUUAAAAUAAGCCUGCAGUCUCACCAGGCAAGCGUAUGUCACCAGGCAUAGCCUGAUAAAAACAAGUCAUUUUCACAACCCUGAUAAAAGAGUGAAGUCACAUGCCAUUUGCCUUAACCCUGAUAAAAGUCGGAGGGUAAUAUCAGAGUAGAAACCACCAGACCAUAUGUCCUCCCUAAGAUGAAGUAUGUCACUAAGAAACUGGGUAACAGCUUAUAGGGACCUAAAGGGAGAGCAGAAGCUCCCAAAAUUGAUAUAAAUAAUAGAGCAAAAGGACAGACAUUCAGCCAGUGGGCACUGAUGCACACAAGCCUGAGAGCGUGAUGAGGACCUGGACUGACAACCCAGCUAUUCUCAUCAUCUGCCUGAUCCUCUGGAUCGUCCUCACUGCUUUCCAACUCUACAGCAGCCUCUUG